Molecule: ribosomal RNA, 1573 nt
Filed under: Salmonella enterica subsp. enterica serovar Agona str. 04.O.05
Lineage: Bacteria; Pseudomonadati; Pseudomonadota; Gammaproteobacteria; Enterobacterales; Enterobacteriaceae
Description: bacterial LSU rRNA
Rfam family: Bacterial large subunit ribosomal RNA
Source: RNAcentral
ACCAUGCACCGAAGCUGCGGCAGCGAACGUAUCACUUAAAGCGAUUCAGCGGGUUACGAUUGACGGAGCGAAGCGACGUCAAAGCGUAUACAAAGUCGAGUCGGUUUAAGGAUACGUUCGUUGGGUAGGGGAGCGUUCUGUAAGCCUGCGAAGGUGGCCUGUGAGGGUUGCUGGAGGUAUCAGAAGUGCGAAUGCUGACAUAAGUAACGAUAAAGCGGGUGAAAAGCCCGCUCGCCGGAAGACCAAGGGUUCCUGUCCAACGUUAAUCGGGGCAGGGUGAGUCGACCCCUAAGGCGAGGCCGAAAGGCGUAGUCGAUGGGAAACGGGUUAAUAUUCCCGUACUUGGUGUUACUGCGAAGGGGGGACGGAGAAGGCUAUGUUGGCCGGGCGACGGUUGUCCCGGUUUAAGCGUGUAGGUGUGUGUUCCAGGUAAAUCCGGUUCACUUUAACACUGAGGCGUGACGACGAGGCACUACGGUGCUGAAGCAACAAAUGCCCUGCUUCCAGGAAAAGCCUCUAAGCAUCAGGUAACAUCAAAUCGUACCCCAAACCGACACAGGUGGUCAGGUAGAGAAUACCAAGGCGCUUGAGAGAACUCGGGUGAAGGAACUAGGCAAAAUGGUGCCGUAACUUCGGGAGAAGGCACGCUGACACGUAGGUGAAGUGAUUUACUCAUGGAGCUGAAGUCAGUCGAAGAUACCAGCUGGCUGCAACUGUUUAUUAAAAACACAGCACUGUGCAAACACGAAAGUGGACGUAUACGGUGUGACGCCUGCCCGGUGCCGGAAGGUUAAUUGAUGGGGUCAGCGCAAGCGAAGCUCCUGAUCGAAGCCCCGGUAAACGGCGGCCGUAACUAUAACGGUCCUAAGGUAGCGAAAUUCCUUGUCGGGUAAGUUCCGACCUGCACGAAUGGCGUAAUGAUGGCCAGGCUGUCUCCACCCGAGACUCAGUGAAAUUGAACUCGCUGUGAAGAUGCAGUGUACCCGCGGCAAGACGGAAAGACCCCGUGAACCUUUACUAUAGCUUGACACUGAACAUUGAGCCUUGAUGUGUAGGAUAGGUGGGAGGCUUUGAAGUGUGGACGCCAGUCUGCAUGGAGCCGACCUUGAAAUACCACCCUUUAAUGUUUGAUGUUCUAACGUGGACCCGUAAUCCGGGUUGCGGACAGUGUCUGGUGGGUAGUUUGACUGGGGCGGUCUCCUCCUAAAGAGUAACGGAGGAGCACGAAGGUUGGCUAAUCCUGGUCGGACAUCAGGAGGUUAGUGCAAUGGCAUAAGCCAGCUUGACUGCGAGCGUGACGGCGCGAGCAGGUGCGAAAGCAGGUCAUAGUGAUCCGGUGGUUCUGAAUGGAAGGGCCAUCGCUCAACGGAUAAAAGGUACUCCGGGGAUAACAGGCUGAUACCGCCCAAGAGUUCAUAUCGACGGCGGUGUUUGGCACCUCGAUGUCGGCUCAUCACAUCCUGGGGCUGAAGUAGGUCCCAAGGGUAUGGCUGUUCGCCAUUUAAAGUGGUACGCGAGCUGGGUUUAGAACGUCGUGAGACAGUUCGGUCCCUAUCUGCCGUGGGCGCUGGAG